CCCUGGUAGUCCAUGCCGUAAACGUUGGGCACUAGGUGUGGGGGACAUUCCACGUUUUCCGCGCCGUAGCUAACGCAUUAAGUGCCCCGCCUGGGGAGUACGGCCGCAAGGCUAAAACUCAAAGGAAUUGACGGGGGCCCGCACAAGCGGCGGAGCAUGCGGAUUAAUUCGAUGCAACGCGAAGAACCUUACCAAGGCUUGACAUGAACCGGAAAGACCUGGAAACAGGUCCCCCACUUGUGGUCGGUUUACAGGUGGUGCAUGGUUGUCGUCAGCUCGUGUCGUGAGAUGUUGGGUUAAGUCCCGCAACGAGCGCAACCCUCGUUCUAUGUUGCCAGCACGUGAUGGUGGGAC
Molecule: ribosomal RNA, 354 nt
Filed under: Pseudarthrobacter sp.
Lineage: Bacteria; Bacillati; Actinomycetota; Actinomycetes; Micrococcales; Micrococcaceae
Description: bacterial SSU rRNA
Rfam family: Bacterial small subunit ribosomal RNA
Source: RNAcentral